RNAcentral lists this ribosomal RNA (492 nucleotides) under uncultured bacterium. Its description in RNAcentral is "partial 16S ribosomal RNA". It matches the Rfam family "Bacterial small subunit ribosomal RNA", at positions 29 to 507 of the family's 1533-position model. The record is from RNAcentral.
AGUGAACGCUGGCGGUAGGCCUAACACAUGCAAGUCGAACGGCAGCACAGUAGGAGCUUGCUCUUACGGGUGGCGAGUGGCGGACGGGUGGGGAAUACAUCGGAAUCUACUUUUUCGUGGGGGAUAACGUAGGGAAACUUACGCUAAUACCGCAUACGACCUACGGGUGAAAGCAGGGGAUCUUCGGACCUUGCGCGAUUGAAUGAGCCGAUGUCGGAUUAGCUAGUUGGCGGGGUAAAGGCCCACCAAGGCGACGAUCCGUAGCUGGUCUGAGAGGAUGAUCAGCCACACUGGAACUGAGACACGGUCCAGACUCCUACGGGAGGCAGCAGUGGGGAAUAUUGGACAAAGGGCGCAAGCCUGAUCCAGCCAUACCGCGUGGGUGAAGAAGGCCUUCGGGUUGUAAAGCCCUUUUGUUGGGAAAGAAAAGCAGCAGGUUAAUACCCCGCUGUUCUGACGGUACCAAAAGAAUAAGCACCGGCUAACUUCGUG